GGCGCGGAGCGGAGCGUGAGGGCCUUUAGGCCUGGACGCGAGCCCCGCAGCAUGCUGCAGCGGUGGAGACGCAAGCCAAGGUGUGGACCGGACCAGAUUCCGAGGCGCGCAGGCGCUCUCGAUCCCUGACGGCGGCCAAGGUUACACUCGGCGCUCCUGCGGGAGCGGUGCGGAGGGCUGCGGAGGUCCGGGCCCUUCUGGCGGGGCUUGUCGGCCGGCCGGAGCAGAGCCGAGACCUCCUGCGGCUUUCCGUAGAGCGUGCUCCUGGCCCGGUGUCCCGUGGAGGAAGCCGUGGACAGCCCUGAGACCUCGGAGGGCAAGGCUGAGUGCCAGGACUGUGGGAGACUGGGAUGGUGUGCAAUGGAACAAAACAGCUCGGAGGAUUCACAGCUCAGAAGCCACCAAGACAAGUGUCUUAUUUAGGUACCUAGAAGAGGUGCUUUAUCAUCUUUCCACUGAAUACUGGAAAGAUGAGUGCUUCAAGGUGGAGACUUAAUAAAAGGAACAUGUUCUCCAGUCUCCAGCAGCUGUCCCGGUUGUGGGCCUGGUGACCACUGGCAUCACAGAGUGUGGCUGCCGUGACCCACACGAAGCCCAGGACUGUCACCCAUCAGCCUUUUUCAUAGUAAAUGAUCUUGAUGUUAUGAAAAUAGCGUUGGCCUCCUCGUUUCCUUUUAUGAUUUUGAAGGUCCUGAGGCUUUUGCUCAGGCCUGGCUUUGCAGUUGAGAUAGGGCAGACAUUCCAGCGCUGCACUCUGUCCCUCUGCUGCGUAGACUUGUUUUCUACAGGGUCCACGGGUCAGACCCUCCUUUGGCUAACUGGUGCUUUGCGGUGAAGCCACUCUGCACCUCGGGUCUGCCCAAGUCCGAAGUCCACGCUCUGGCUUCUACGGAACGCAAUUGGCCGCCCUUGUUUGUCAGGUCAAUCCUCAUAGACACUGAAGGAGCAGAGAUCUUGUCAUUAGAGCUCUCCAGUAGCACGCAGCCAGCGCAUCCCUGAGACCCAGACCAUCAGCCCUGCACAGACCUGCAUCUCCUGCUCCCUCCCCGGGCCUCCUGCGUAGUCUGUGGGACUCCUCUAGAAGGGGCCAGCCGUGUCAGUGUCAGCGUGGAAACUGGGGGAAAGCAGAAAAAAACCGAUUUACACAGAUGUUCCCUCUUCUGUGUGUGAUAAAAUCAAAAACAGGAAGAUUAACAACAAAAAGUCUGUGAUUUCUGCAUCUGCAUCCCGGUGUAUGACUCCGAGGUGGCCACCCAGGUUCCAGCGGUUCGCCCAUGAAAGGGAGGAGGUGUUGGCACCUAUAUGUUUUGGGCCUGGACAUUUCGUGCUUUGCUGCACACGGGGCUGCACCCCAGCAGGCGCAGGUGCCACCAGUACCAGUUGUAGGUGGAGAAGGUGGCUGGUGUAAUGUUUUCAAAGAUAACUAUCUGCACGGUGAAAAGCUGACCUUUGAGAUUCAAAUUCAGAACCUUUAGAUUUGGAAACGGAAGCGCCACCCACUGCAAUAAGACAGCAAUGACUGCUGUCUCCUGGUCAGAUUCUAGGAAUCGUUUAUUUUCGUUCCAAGAAUGGACUGUUUUCUGGAUUUCCAGCUUUUUUUGAUGUAGGGUCACUAGUUCUCCAAAAUAUUCCCAAACAAGUUGCAUGGAUUCAUUUUUAAUCCUGUACUCAAAAGAGCCUCAUGGUUAUGGAAGGCUUGGGGCACCUACUGAGAAAUGGUGCAUGAUCUCUGUCUGGUAUGUCCCGUUUUUUAAUAUUGAUCCUGGUCUUUAGUCAUAUAAAUUAAUAAAUUGACCAAAAAAAUUAAUCAUUCACUUUGAGCCAACUCUUAUCCCUGCCCUCAGCAUCUGGUGGAUAAAAGUGAAAAGUGCCACCAGGAUUGGAAAAUAAUUUGAAAAUCUCUUUUAUCAAGGUUUUAGGACUGUAACAUACUCAAUUCCUGGACUGGACAUACAAAUUGUCCUUAUAGAUGAAGACUGCUGUGGGGAGUCCAGAGACUGGUUGAGGUUGGGAAUAAAGAAUACAAUGAAUUCA
This is a long non-coding RNA of Marmota flaviventris (yellow-bellied marmot), 2034 nucleotides long. RefSeq lists it as uncharacterized. NCBI's taxonomy places the organism in Eukaryota, Metazoa, Chordata, Mammalia, Rodentia, Sciuridae. The record is from RefSeq and is a predicted model, not a curated record.